RNAcentral lists this ribosomal RNA (236 nucleotides) under uncultured Candidatus Saccharibacteria bacterium. RNAcentral describes it as "partial 16S ribosomal RNA". It matches the Rfam family "Bacterial small subunit ribosomal RNA", at positions 584 to 818 of the family's 1533-position model. Lineage: Bacteria; Candidatus Saccharimonadota. The record is from RNAcentral.
UAAGUCUCUGUUUAAAUAUCCCAGGCUCAACCUGGAGGAAGGCAGGGAAACUGGCUAGCUUGAGCAUAGUAGAGGUAACUGGAAUUUCUAGUGUAGGAGUGAAAUCCGUAGAUAUUAGGAGGAACACCGAUGGCGUAGGCAGGUUACUGGGCUAUUGCUGACACUAAGACACGAAAGCGUGGGGAGCGAACGGGAUUAGAUACCCCGGUAGUCCACGCCGUAAACGAUGGAUACUA